Molecule: long non-coding RNA, 421 nt
Filed under: Mytilus galloprovincialis (Mediterranean mussel)
Lineage: Eukaryota; Metazoa; Mollusca; Bivalvia; Mytilida; Mytilidae
Source: RNAcentral
UGGUUUGACUAUAUUUAGUAUUGUUUCUAUUUAAACAUAGCUCUGGUUUGACUAUGUUUAGGAUUGGUUCUAUCUAAUUAUAGCUCUGGUUUGGCUAUAUUCAAGAUUGUUUCUAUCUGAAAUAGCUCCAGUUUGACUAUAUUUAGUACUUAUUAUAUCUAAACAUCGCUCUGGUUUGACUUUCUUCAGAUUUGUUUUUAAUUUAACAUCGCCCUGGUUUGACUAUAUUCAAAAAUGGUUCCAUGUAAAAAUUGCUCUGGUUUGACUAAAUUUAGGAUUUUUUUCUAUCUAAACAUAGCUUCGGUUUGACUAUAUAUUAAGAAUUGUUUCUAUGGUUUGACUAUAUUUAGGAUUAUUUCUUAUUAAGCAUAGCUCUGGUUGGACUUCAUUAUUUGGUCAUUCGAGUUUAUGAGCACUUUCG